RNAcentral lists this ribosomal RNA (362 nucleotides) under uncultured bacterium. RNAcentral's name for it is "bacterial SSU rRNA". It matches the Rfam family "Bacterial small subunit ribosomal RNA", at positions 169 to 526 of the family's 1533-position model. The record is from RNAcentral.
CCGCAUACGACCGAGAGGUGAAAGCGGGGGACCGAAAGGCCUCGCGCAGCAGGAUGAGCCGAUGUCCGAUUAGCUGGUUGGUGGGGUAAUGGCCUACCAAGGCGACGAUCGGUAGCUGGUCUGAGAGGAUGAUCAGCCACACUGGGACUGAGACACGGCCCAGACUCCUACGGGAGGCAGCAGUGGGGAAUAUUGGACAAUGGGGGCAACCCUGAUCCAGCAAUGCCGCGUGUGUGAAGAAGGCCUUCGGGUUGUAAAGCACUUUUAUCGGGAGCGAAACGCGCCGGGUUAAUACCUUGGCGAACUGACGGUACCCGAGGAAUAAGCACCGGCUAACUCCGUGCCAGCCGCCGCCGUAAGAC